Long non-coding RNA from Daphnia pulex (common water flea), 1907 nucleotides. RefSeq lists it as uncharacterized. The record is from RefSeq and is a predicted model, not a curated record. Lineage: Eukaryota; Metazoa; Arthropoda; Branchiopoda; Diplostraca; Daphniidae. The transcript is spliced from 10 exons.
CAGCCCUUGUGUCAUGCCUAGUGUGUUGGUAGCCCGGUAUUAAAUUGUCGACACGAGACGACAUUCCUUUUGACAUUUCUUUUCCCUUGAGAUGCUGUCGGAGAAGGUUACCUUAGCCAUUGGCACAUGUCGACAUUCUUUCCUGACGUUUUUCAUUUAUGCCUGGUGAAUUCUGAGCUUUUUCAUUGCAUUACGUGCACGUGAUCGCUGCCUUGGCAUGAAGAGGGUCUCCACUAUUUUGCAAGACUAUUCAGAUGAAAAGAGGAAACUAAGUUACUUGUAAGCUAAGUUGAGAAGGUUUCCUUGUUCAGUUUGAACUGUUAAUGGUGUUGUCUGGUGUGCAGUGAUUUUGCAGUCAUUCAGUCGUGACAUGCCCUGAGAUGGAUGAUCAACCGCUAAAAAAACUUUUCUCACAUUGUCUUUUUCAAUGAAGACGCUAUCCGAGAAGGUUUAGCUUGGCCAUUGCAGCCCGGUGGAGUCUAAAAGCUUCUUUAUUGCGCUGCGUGCACGUGAUCGCUGCCGUUUGAUGAAGGUUCUCUAACUAAUAAGAGGGUCUCUACUACAUUGCAAGACAACAUUGUGAUGGAAAUAGGAAAUCUGAAUGAAAUACUAAUAAUUUUGAUGUUUGAACUGGUUUGUUGUGGCUGUUUGGUGUGCAGUCGUUUCCCAGGAGAGAUGUGUUCAAAAGGUGCUUGAGCAGACUUGCUUACAAUGGGAAGUUUUUCCAGGGAUAAAGCGCCUGAUGUUGGCAACAUCGCUAUCUUAUGCCACUGAGCCUGAUAACAUCUUCUAUCGAGUAUGGAGACCAGUUACAUUGUUCGUGAUUAAAAUGCGGUCAAAUUCAACAUUCUUCUCUACUAUAACUCGGAAGGAUUAAUGGCUUGGUGAAGUUGAGCUUUAUCAUGGCAGUCAAAUGUCUGCAUGGAAUUGUUGCAGCCAGCUGGUGAAGGUUUUGUAGUGAGCUGUUGCAUGAUGACCAUGUGCUGGUGUGGGGAAGUGCUGCAUGCUGUCUGGUGUUGGUUUGAAUUAUUUUCAUUGCCUUAACUACUAAGUGUUUGAAUCAAUCAUUUUAUAUUUGUUGGCUGAAGUUAAACUUGCAAUUCUUGUUUUUGUCUGAAAAUUUUUUCAUUUGAAUUUUUUUACAUUUCAAAGUGUCAUUCUGUUCAUUGAUAUUCUUUUGCUCUGUAGGUUUCCAUCAUCAGUUAGAUGUAUGAGCUAAUUAUGAUGUUUCUUUUUGAUGUGCAGUUUAUGUUCAGGUGUUUUUGUUGCAGUCAGCUAGUGAAAAGGAGUUCAAGUCGUGUAGAGCUGUGGCUUAUUGUAGCGGUCAGCAAUGCUGGUUUUAUUCUGAAGAGCAAUAUCAAUGAAGACAUUCUGAAAUGAUUUGGUGACCAUGUGAUCAACAAUAUGCUGAAUGGAGUCUAUGCUGUUUUUGUUGAGUGGAGAAGUAAGACUUGAAGCAAGGCUGCAAGAAAAUGAAAUGGUUUCGGCGUAAAUGUGCAGUCGCUUUGCAGUCUCAAUCCUGUUCAAGCUGUUGCUAUCCUGAAUAUGCUGGAGUCUUGGAAGUAGCAGAUCCUGAAGUUGGGUUGCUGGUGUUAUCCUGAAGAAGCUGAUGUUGAUGUUAUUAAGUUAAUGUGCCAGUUCAGUUCUGGUUGUUCAAAAUUAUAUCCAUGUUAUAUGUGAUUUUAGCAACCUUGAGAUUUCUUAUCAACUAAGACAUGUUCCAACCUGUUAAUAACUGAAACAGCACUCCUUCCUGAAAUUUCCUCACCCAUAUAUUUUUAAAUAAUUCUUAAAUAAUGGGAUGUCAAAACUUGCAAUAUUAUACCUUGUGCAUUAUUAUAUCUGAUAUAUUUUUCAUAAAUUGUGAAAUUUUUAAACAAAUUAAAAUACAAUCAAUUAUAUGAAAC